RNAcentral lists this long non-coding RNA (355 nucleotides) under Salmo salar (Atlantic salmon). Its description in RNAcentral is "lncRNA (ENSSSAG00000095465.1)". The record is from RNAcentral. Lineage: Eukaryota; Metazoa; Chordata; Actinopteri; Salmoniformes; Salmonidae.
GACAUGCUGUUGAUGCAUGCGACUGUCUUAAAUCACUGACUAGGAUACUUUCAAAAUGUGUCAAUCACUAAAAUCACACUUCUUCUUUCUAUGCACUGCUACGACGGUAAGUUGACUCACUGUACAAGACCUCUCCCCUUCACUAUACUGCAGGGUGGGAGCUGCAACAAUGGCCUUGAGAACAGCAGGAAGUGUGUUGGUGGUCUUUCUCUGGUCUGUAGCAGGUAUGGUCUCAUUCUUAUCUUUAAGUUGCUCUGUUUAAUAAUCUACAGACAUUUCUAAAAGGAUAAGAAUCAUAAUGUUAUUCUGGUGUGUUCUGUUAGGAGUCUCCACUUCACUUUAAAUAGUUAUCUUU